RNAcentral lists this transfer RNA (56 nucleotides) under Strongyloides stercoralis. Its description in RNAcentral is "tRNA-Ala". The record is from RNAcentral. Lineage: Eukaryota; Metazoa; Nematoda; Chromadorea; Rhabditida; Strongyloididae.
AGGGAUUUAGUUUAUAUUAAAAUGUUUGUUUUGCAUACAAAAGAAUUUUUUCUCUG